AAGCGUGCGCAGGCGGUUAUAUAAGACAGAUGUGAAAUCCCCGGGCUCAACCUGGGAACUGCAUUUGUGACUGUAUAGCUGGAGUGCGGCAGAGGGGGAUGGAAUUCCGGCGUGUAGCAGUGAAAUGCGUAGAUAUGCGGAGGAACACCGAUGGCGAAGGCAAUCCCCUGGGCCUGCACUGACGCUCAUGCACGAAAGCGUGGGGAGCAAACAGGAUUAGAUACCCUUGU
This 230-nucleotide ribosomal RNA is filed under the name uncultured bacterium. RNAcentral describes it as "partial 16S ribosomal RNA". It matches the Rfam family "Bacterial small subunit ribosomal RNA", at positions 563 to 791 of the family's 1533-position model. The record is from RNAcentral.